CCUACGGGCGGCAGCAGUGAGGAAUAUUGGUCAAUGGGCGUAAGCCUGAACCAGCCAAGUCGCGUGAGGGAUGAAGGUCCUAUGGAUCGUAAACCUCUUUUAUAAGGGAAUAAAGUGUGGGACGUGUCCUAUUUUGUAUGUACCUUAUGAAUAAGGAUCGGCUAACUCCGUGCCAGCAGCCGCGGUAAUACGGAGGAUCCGAGCGUUAUCCGGAUUUAUUGGGUUUAAAGGGUGCGUAGGCGGCCUUUUAAGUCAGCGGUGAAAGUCUGUGGCUCAACCCUAGAAUUGCCGUUGAAACUGGGGGGCUUGAGUAUGUUUGAGGCAGGCGGAAUGCGUGGUGUAGCGGUGAAAUGCUUAGAUAUCACGCAGAACCCCGAUUGCGAAGGCAGCCUGCCGGGCCAUGACUGACGCUGAGGCACGAAAGCGUGGGGAUCAAACAGGAUUAGAUACCCUUGUAGUC
This 460-nucleotide ribosomal RNA is filed under the name uncultured bacterium. RNAcentral describes it as "partial 16S ribosomal RNA". It matches the Rfam family "Bacterial small subunit ribosomal RNA", at positions 338 to 795 of the family's 1533-position model. The record is from RNAcentral.